CAAGGACCUGUCUUGUUCACUGCUAUAUUCCCAAUACCAGGCACCUACUAAAAGCUCAGGCCCUGACCAGGCUUGGGAAUUUGCACUGGGACAGGAAUCAUUCUACUGCUUCUGGAUGGUGCAGAGAGAAGGGAUGAAAGGUAUUUCACCACCGUCCCAUCUACACUUGAUGAAAUACUAUGUUUCCUUCAAGAUCCAGUUUGAAUGGAAACUUGGAAAGUUUCGGAGUCCUUUCCUGUCACUUCAAUGUGUGUAUAUUAGACUGUCUUUUCCUGGAGAACUAUGAGAGU
This is a long non-coding RNA of Manis javanica (Malayan pangolin), 290 nucleotides long. RefSeq lists it as uncharacterized. The record is from RefSeq and is a predicted model, not a curated record. NCBI's taxonomy places the organism in Eukaryota, Metazoa, Chordata, Mammalia, Pholidota, Manidae.